Long non-coding RNA from Pieris brassicae (large cabbage white), 893 nucleotides. RefSeq lists it as uncharacterized. The transcript has 3 exons. NCBI's taxonomy places the organism in Eukaryota, Metazoa, Arthropoda, Insecta, Lepidoptera, Pieridae. The record is from RefSeq and is a predicted model, not a curated record.
AUAUUUUUGUUAUCUGGCCGUGGUACUAAAGUCCAUGUUUUAUUUAAAAAUAGAGAAUUUAAUUGCACCUUCCCAAUGAACUCUAUCGUCUCGUGUUUUAAUCUCUUGAAACGAAUUUGGUAUUUUACACAAAAUUGAACUAGCACACAUAAGGUUAUCAUCGAUUUCUUUAUAAGAAAUAGGGGGACGACUUUAAGCCUAUCACUCCUACGUGGUUCAAUACAACUGGUUGUGUCCUCAUUAUUUACGACCACUGAAAGAUCAUCAGAAUGUGCAUUUGGUUGUUCAAAUUCGACGAUGUCAUGGUUAGUUUUGCGAAUUUUCUGAGGAACUUCAUAAUCAUCAGAUUUACAGGUAUCUGAUUUAUAUCUGUCAGUUUUUUGAGACUUUAUUGACUUUGAAAUGUUGUCAAUGUUAACAUUAUCAUGAGAAUUUACUAUAUUCUCUUCAGGUCGCAACGCAGGCCUGGAUUGAAGUAAUUUGUCUCAUCUACUAUGACAUCUCUGACAGUAAUAAAUUUUUCGCAUUUAGGAUUCCAAACUUUAUAACCGUUUGGUUCGUAUCCCACAAGAAUACCUUUCCAUGACUUAACAUCGAAUUUUGUCUUAUAUAACUUAUCAUGCACAUAAACUGUUGAACCAAAAAAAUUUAAAUAUUUUAUUUGUGGUUUUUUGUUAUGCCACAUUUACGAAUUCAAUCAUCAUGUCUACUGAGAAAUCACUGGAUGGUUGUUAAUAGUGCUUACUCAAAUAUACCUUAUUCAUUAACACCAUUUCUCUGACUGACCAGAGAUAUGAUGAAGUACACAUUAAGAAUAGGAAUACUAUAGAGAGAUAUACCGGCAGAAGUUUUAGUUCCAACACUUGAUACAGUUUCAAGUCAAGAAGUUAAUG